RNAcentral lists this ribosomal RNA (382 nucleotides) under uncultured Alphaproteobacteria bacterium. Its description in RNAcentral is "bacterial SSU rRNA". It matches the Rfam family "Bacterial small subunit ribosomal RNA", at positions 9 to 419 of the family's 1533-position model. The record is from RNAcentral. Lineage: Bacteria; Pseudomonadati; Pseudomonadota; Alphaproteobacteria.
GAGUUUGAUCGUGGCUCAGAGUGAACGCUGGCGGCAGGCCUAACACAUGCAAGUCGAACGGACCCUUCGGGGUUAGUGGCAGACGGGUGAGUAACACGUGGGAACGUGCCCUUUGGUUCGGAACAACUCAGGGAAACUUGAGCUAAUACCGGAUGUGCCCUUCGGGGGAAAGAUUUAUCGCCAUUGGAGCGGCCCGCGUCUGAUUAGGUAGUUGGUGGGGUAAAGGCCCACCAAGGCGACGAUCCGUAGCUGGUUUGAGAGAACGACCAGCCACACUGGGACUGAGACACGGCCCAGACUCCUACGGGAGGCAGCAGUGGGGAAUUUUGGACAAUGGGGGCAACCCUGAUCCAGCAAUGCCGCGUGCAGGAAGAAGGCCUUC